UUGGAUUUGUGGUUGGGUCUGUCGGUCCGGCACAUUGUGCGGGUACUUGAUGGACUCGUCCAUCCUUGGGUGGAAUCUGUGUGGCAUUAAGUUGUCGUGCAGGGGAUGCCCAUCGUUUACUGUGAAAAAAUUAGAGUGUUCAAAGCAGGCUUAUGCCGUUGAAUAUAUUAGCAUGGAAUAAUGAGAUAGGACCUUGGUACUAUUUUGUUGGUUUGCGCACCGAGGUAAUGAUUAAUAGGGACAGUUGGGGGUAUUCGUAUUCCAUUGUCGGAGGUGAAAUUCUUGGAUUUUUGGAAGACGAACUACUGCGAAAGCAUUUACCAAGGAUGUUUUCAUUAAUCAAGAACGAAAGUUAGGGGAUCGAAGAUGAUUAGAUACCAUC
This 382-nucleotide ribosomal RNA is filed under the name Fragilariaceae sp. RCC5603. Its description in RNAcentral is "SSU rRNA". It matches the Rfam family "Eukaryotic small subunit ribosomal RNA", at positions 634 to 1019 of the family's 1831-position model. The record is from RNAcentral. Lineage: Eukaryota; Bacillariophyta; Fragilariophyceae; Fragilariales; Fragilariaceae.